Molecule: transfer RNA, 73 nt
Filed under: Aquisphaera giovannonii
Lineage: Bacteria; Pseudomonadati; Planctomycetota; Planctomycetia; Isosphaerales; Isosphaeraceae
Description: tRNA-Arg
Source: RNAcentral
GCCCUCGGGGUGUGAUGGAUUCGCACUCGACCCUCCGAAGGUCGCGGACCAGGUUCGAUUCCUGGCGAGGGCA